ACAUGGGAAGUAAUAUUCCGCAACCUCUAGUGUGGAGAUGCCUCACUGCUGACUUUGAUCCUUUUACUUCUGAUGGGGACUGGAAAGGAGAUGGUGGAACUGCUGAAGUGAGCAGGAGGCUGGAGAUGUACCUGUUCUCUGCUACUGCAAGAAAUUGGCAAAAUCAGAGGAAAGAAAGAAAUCUUUUUAAACUCCAUACAUCCAGAGCAUUUGAAAUUCCAAUGGAGAAUGGGAGGCUUAUCUCUGUGAAAGACACCUGAAACAUUGCUGAGCCAUUUCUCUGAAAGCUUCUGCUUCAGGAAUAGAGUUCCAGGAGGAAACACUCUAUGCAAGAGUACAAUUUGAGUAUGUGAGACAUCGUUAAAUGGUAACUUGUACACCAGCCAGCCUCUUCUAGGCAGACAGGCAGUGACUUCCUUGUUCAGGAAGCAUUGCCAACCCACAGUCUCUCCUGCCAAUUCCAUUCCAACAAGCUUGGUCCUGAUCGUCCUUCAGGAAUGAUUUGGCCCUUGUUUUUCUAAUAUCUACAGAAAUGAGAGCACAAAUUUCUGACUACAAACCUGAUUUCAAAUCUGAAAUGUUAAAAACGAUGGCUUCUCUGUCUUUUGGGAAGAUCAAGUGAAAUGUUAAAAAUUGAUCCAUUUAAAGAUGUUCACCAUUUUCUGAUAACACUUUUAAAGGGGAAAACAUUUCCCCCCGCUGUUUUGAAGGUGAAUAAAAUGAAGCACAG
This 730-nucleotide long non-coding RNA is filed under the name Fukomys damarensis (Damara mole-rat). RNAcentral describes it as "lncRNA (ENSFDAG00000027495.1)". The record is from RNAcentral. Lineage: Eukaryota; Metazoa; Chordata; Mammalia; Rodentia; Bathyergidae.